This 2902-nucleotide ribosomal RNA is filed under the name Escherichia coli DEC2A. RNAcentral describes it as "bacterial LSU rRNA". It matches the Rfam family "Bacterial large subunit ribosomal RNA". The record is from RNAcentral. Lineage: Bacteria; Pseudomonadati; Pseudomonadota; Gammaproteobacteria; Enterobacterales; Enterobacteriaceae.
UUAAGCGACUAAGCGUACACGGUGGAUGCCCUGGCAGUCAGAGGCGAUGAAGGACGUGCUAAUCUGCGAUAAGCGUCGGUGAGGUGAUAUGAACCGUUAUAACCGGCGAUUUCCGAAUGGGGAAACCCAGUGUGUUUCGACACACUAUCAUUAACUGAAUCCAUAGGUUAAUGAGGCGAACCGGGGGAACUGAAACAUCUAAGUACCCCGAGGAAAAGAAAUCAACCGAGAUUCCCCCAGUAGCGGCGAGCGAACGGGGAGGAGCCCAGAGCCUGAAUCAGUGUGUGUGUUAGUGGAAGCGUCUGGAAAGGCGCGCGAUACAGGGUGACAGCCCCGUACACAAAAAUGCACAUACUGUGAGCUCGAUGAGUAGGGCGGGACACGUGGUAUCCUGUCUGAAUAUGGGGGGACCAUCCUCCAAGGCUAAAUACUCCUGACUGACCGAUAGUGAACCAGUACCGUGAGGGAAAGGCGAAAAGAACCCCGGCGAGGGGAGUGAAAAAGAACCUGAAACCGUGUACGUACAAGCAGUGGGAGCCUCUUAAUGGGGUGACUGCGUACCUUUUGUAUAAUGGGUCAGCGACUUAUAUUCUGUAGCAAGGUUAACCGAAUAGGGGAGCCGAAGGGAAACCGAGUCUUAACUGGGCGUUAAGUUGCAGGGUAUAGACCCGAAACCCGGUGAUCUAGCCAUGGGCAGGUUGAAGGUUGGGUAACACUAACUGGAGGACCGAACCGACUAAUGUUGAAAAAUUAGCGGAUGACUUGUGGCUGGGGGUGAAAGGCCAAUCAAACCGGGAGAUAGCUGGUUCUCCCCGAAAGCUAUUUAGGUAGCGCCUCGUGAAUUCAUCUCCGGGGGUAGAGCACUGUUUCGGCAAGGGGGUCAUCCCGACUUACCAACCCGAUGCAAACUGCGAAUACCGGAGAAUGUUAUCACGGGAGACACACGGCGGGUGCUAACGUCCGUCGUGAAGAGGGAAACAACCCAGACCGCCAGCUAAGGUCCCAAAGUCAUGGUUAAGUGGGAAACGAUGUGGGAAGGCCCAGACAGCCAGGAUGUUGGCUUAGAAGCAGCCAUCAUUUAAAGAAAGCGUAAUAGCUCACUGGUCGAGUCGGCCUGCGCGGAAGAUGUAACGGGGCUAAACCAUGCACCGAAGCUGCGGCAGCGACACUAUGUGUUGUUGGGUAGGGGAGCGUUCUGUAAGCCUGUGAAGGUGGCCUGUGAGGGUUGCUGGAGGUAUCAGAAGUGCGAAUGCUGACAUAAGUAACGAUAAAGCGGGUGAAAAGCCCGCUCGCCGGAAGACCAAGGGUUCCUGUCCAACGUUAAUCGGGGCAGGGUGAGUCGACCCCUAAGGCGAGGCCGAAAGGCGUAGUCGAUGGGAAACAGGUUAAUAUUCCUGUACUUGGUGUUACUGCGAAGGGGGGACGGAGAAGGCUAUGUUGGCCGGGCGACGGUUGUCCCGGUUUAAGCGUGUAGGCUGGUUUUCCAGGCAAAUCCGGAAAAUCAAGGCUGAGGCGUGAUGACGAGGCACUACGGUGCUGAAGCGACAAAUGCCCUGCUUCCAGGAAAAGCCUCUAAGCAUCAGGUAACAUCAAAUCGUACCCCAAACCGACACAGGUGGUCAGGUAGAGAAUACCAAGGCGCUUGAGAGAACUCGGGUGAAGGAACUAGGCAAAAUGGUGCCGUAACUUCGGGAGAAGGCACGCUGAUAUGUAGGUGAAGCGACUUGCUCGUGGAGCUGAAAUCAGUCGAAGAUACCAGCUGGCUGCAACUGUUUAUUAAAAACACAGCACUGUGCAAACACGAAAGUGGACGUAUACGGUGUGACGCCUGCCCGGUGCCGGAAGGUUAAUUGAUGGGGUUAGCGGCAACGCGAAGCUCUUGAUCGAAGCCCCGGUAAACGGCGGCCGUAACUAUAACGGUCCUAAGGUAGCGAAAUUCCUUGUCGGGUAAGUUCCGACCUGCACGAAUGGCGUAAUGAUGGCCAGGCUGUCUCCACCCGAGACUCAGUGAAAUUGAACUCGCUGUGAAGAUGCAGUGUACCCGCGGCAAGACGGAAAGACCCCGUGAACCUUUACUAUAGCUUGACACUGAACAUUGAGCCUUGAUGUGUAGGAUAGGUGGGAGGCUUUGAAGUGUGGACGCCAGUCUGCAUGGAGCCGGCCUUGAAAUACCACCCUUUAAUGUUUGAUGUUCUAACGUGGGCCCCUUACCGGGGUUGCGGACAGUGUCUGGUGGGUAGUUUGACUGGGGCGGUCUCCUCCUAAAGAGUAACGGAGGAGCACGAAGGUUGGCUAAUCCUGGUCGGACAUCAGGAGGUUAGUGCAAUGGCAUAAGCCAGCUUGACUGCGAGCGUGACGGCGCGAGCAGGUGCGAAAGCAGGUCAUAGUGAUCCGGUGGUUCUGAAUGGAAGGGCCAUCGCUCAACGGAUAAAAGGUACUCCGGGGAUAACAGGCUGAUACCGCCCAAGAGUUCAUAUCGACGGCGGUGUUUGGCACCUCGAUGUCGGCUCAUCACAUCCUGGGGCUGAAGUAGGUCCCAAGGGUAUGGCUGUUCGCCAUUUAAAGUGGUACGCGAGCUGGGUUUAGAACGUCGUGAGACAGUUCGGUCCCUAUCUGCCGUGGGCGCUGGAGAACUGAGGGGGGCUGCUCCUAGUACGAGAGGACCGGAGUGGACGCAUCACUGGUGUUCGGGUUGUCAUGCCAAUGGCACUGCCCGGUAGCUAAAUGCGGAAGAGAUAAGUGCUGAAAGCAUCUAAGCACGAAACUUGCCCCGAGAUGAGUUCUCCCUGACCCUUUAAGGGUCCUGAAGGAACGUUGAAGACGACGACGUUGAUAGGCCGGGUGUGUAAGCGCAGCGAUGCGUUGAGCUAACCGGUACUAAUGAACCGUGAGGCUUAACCUU